This is a long non-coding RNA of Triticum dicoccoides, 1348 nucleotides long. RefSeq lists it as uncharacterized. The transcript is spliced from 3 exons. Lineage: Eukaryota; Viridiplantae; Streptophyta; Magnoliopsida; Poales; Poaceae. The record is from RefSeq and is a predicted model, not a curated record.
UUCUCACUCACACACACCUUCACACUCUCACAUUUUUCUCUUGCCUGAUGCCCCGAUCCCCUUUCUUCUUUCCUUGUUCAAUCCGCUCACUCCAAAAUUGCUGCCACCGGAUGAGCCGUCCCAAUAGUUUUCCCUCUUGAUUUGUUGCCUUGAGCCUGCUCCUGCUCAGCUGCAGGCAUCCCCGCAGCUCAACUCGUUGUUGCGGCCCCAGCCCACAUGGGUGACUGUCUACGGCGGCUUGUCUCCUGGGCCGGUAAACAGCGAUGGAUGUGUAGCAGGGUCCGAGGAGCAUCUGCGGAAGGGAGGAGGCGAGAUCGUCGAUCUUCAUGGUGUCGUUUCCCUCGGCGUCCGUGCAGGUGAUGUGGGCAUGGAUCUCGUCUCCCGCAGCCAGCAUGGAUCCAGCUUGAGUAUGAGGAUGCUGGCGACGUUGUCUUCCCCAAGCGCCGAGCUAUCCGCAUCGUCGUUGUUCACACUCAAGGCAGCCCAACACCAACACAUCAUCAACAUCCUCCACAGCGUCAGUAUUCUUAGACCUACAGAGCCGAUAACAAUCUAGGAGUGUCAACAGAGGAUACUGGGGCGCUUGCAACUAUCGGAGGAAGAUGAUGUCCAAGCGUCGAUCGCUGGAGGAAGACGAUGUUGAAGGUGGGUUCUGAUGUGCAGCACGUGCUAAACCUGAUUUGAUGCUAGCUUGCACGGUGAUACGUUGGAGGUAGUUUGAUCUCUUAGUAUGUGCACAUGGUACUUACUGGGAGUGGUGUGAUUGCUUCACAGAGCCGAUGACAAUCGAUGAGUGUCAACACAGGAGAUUGUGGCGCUUGCAACUAUUGGAGGAAGAUGAUGUCCAUGUGUCGAUCCCUGGAGGAAGAUGAUGCUGAAGGUGGGCUCUUAACAUGUACCGCGUGCUGAACUUGAUUUGAUGCUAGCUCACACGUUUGGUUUUCUCGUGCUGCCACCAUUGCUAACCUGAUUGCAAAAGCUCAUAAAACAGAACCUUGCCUUCUCGCGGUCUCACCUUGCCUUGAUCGCUCAAGAUAGCAAACAUCGCCAACUUGGUACAACAUAUCUGUCUAAAGUUAGACUUUGUUCCCAUGGUGUUGUUGCAUCAAAAAUUCAGAUUGUCUAUAUCUUUCUUAACCCCACAGUUGUGAUGCUUUAGUUGUAGUUACAUGUGUUUCUGUAGAGGCAUCCUUCCAUUGAUGUAUAAUUUCUUUAAUGGCAUCCUUCCAUUGAUGUAUAAUUGGAAUAGUUAUUGUGUUCAUAGUUCUUUUGGCCGAUGGCAGCUAUCUAUAGAGAUUUUCUGAAAAGGAAUAUCCUAAGAGCUGGAUCUUAACUGGCUAUUCUUGCA